RNAcentral lists this ribosomal RNA (685 nucleotides) under uncultured bacterium. RNAcentral describes it as "bacterial SSU rRNA". It matches the Rfam family "Bacterial small subunit ribosomal RNA", at positions 301 to 980 of the family's 1533-position model. The record is from RNAcentral.
UGAUCAGCCACACUGGAACUGAGACACGGUCCAGACUCCUACGGGAGGCAGCAGUGGGGAAUAUUGGACAAUGGGGGCAACCCUGAUCCAGCCAUGCCGCGUGUGUGAAGAAGGCCUUCGGGUUGUAAAGCACUUUUGUUGGGGAAGAAACCGGCCGGGUUAAUACCCUGGUUGAAUGACGGUACCCAAAGAAUAAGCACCGGCUAACUUCGUGCCAGCAGCCGCGGUAAUACGAAGGGUGCAAGCGUUAAUCGGAAUUACUGGGCGUAAAGCGCACGCAGGCGGUCUGUCAAGUCGGAUGUGAAAUCCCCGGGCUCAACCUGGGAACUGCAUUCGAAACUGGCAGGCUAGAGUCUUGUAGAGGGGGGUAGAAUUCCAGGUGUAGCGGUGAAAUGCGUAGAGAUCUGGAGGAAUACCGGUGGCGAAGGCGGCCCCCUGGACAAAGACUGACGCUCAGGUGCGAAAGCGUGGGGAGCAAACAGGAUUAGAUACCCUGGUAGUCCACGCCGUAAACGAUGUCGACUUGGAGGUUGUGCCCUUGAGGCGUGGCUUCCGGAGCUAACGCAUUAAGCGCCCCGCCUGGGGAGUACGGCCGCAAGGCUAAAACUCAAAGGAAUUGACGGGGCCCGCACAAGCGGCGGAGCAUGCGGCUUAAUUCGAUGCAACGCGAAGACCUUACCUGGGC